UUUGGUAACCAUGUAUUCCAGUGUCUGCCUUUUCCAAUUGCAAGUGUGUGGUCACUCAGCCUGUACUUGGUCAGGAUAUGCCUCUGCUUUGUAUCUCUGACAGAGAAGAGAUACUCAGCCAAUUUGUUGUCUCUUUUUAGGGUCCGACAGCAAUCUAGUUUGUUUUGUGUUUUGGUUACAUUAUCCCAAUAUUCCAAAGAAGAGAUUUUGAUCCGUUUCAUUACUUGGUUUACUUUGAUUUGUUGGUAAGCAGUGCUGGUAUGAAGCUGGUCUGUGAUUUGUGUUAGUUGGGUUAAUGGGUUAGUCAGCUUCAUUACCAGCUGACUGAGGGGACUCUUUCAUUACUAACUUCCAGCCUGCAAAGGCACUGCCAGCCAGAACCAGCAGCGACACCAUCACUCCCACCAC
Molecule: long non-coding RNA, 408 nt
Organism: Anguilla rostrata (American eel)
Lineage: Eukaryota; Metazoa; Chordata; Actinopteri; Anguilliformes; Anguillidae
Exons: 2
Source: RefSeq, a predicted model, not a curated record